This 76-nucleotide transfer RNA is filed under the name Haliea atlantica. RNAcentral's name for it is "tRNA-Glu". It matches the Rfam family "tRNA". Rfam says of the family: Transfer RNA (tRNA) molecules are approximately 80 nucleotides in length. Their secondary structure includes four short double-helical elements and three loops (D, anti-codon, and T loops). Lineage: Bacteria; Pseudomonadati; Pseudomonadota; Gammaproteobacteria; Cellvibrionales; Halieaceae. The record is from RNAcentral. RNAcentral also lists the same sequence under 1 other name.
GUCCCCUUCGUCUAGUGGCCUAGGACAUCGCCCUUUCACGGCGAGGACAGGGGUUCGAACCCCCUAGGGGACGCCA